RNAcentral lists this non-coding RNA (23 nucleotides) under Cricetulus griseus (Chinese hamster). Lineage: Eukaryota; Metazoa; Chordata; Mammalia; Rodentia; Cricetidae. The record is from RNAcentral.
CUGAGGGCUCCAACAGUGACAUG